AGAGCGAACGCUGGCGGCAGGCCUAACACAUGCAAGUCGAGCGCCCGUAGCAAUACGGGAGCGGCAGACGGGAGAGUAACACGUGGGAACGCGCCUUUCGGUUCGGAAUAACUCAGGGAAACUUGAGCUAAUACCGGAUACGCCCUUACGGGGAAAGAUUUAUUGCCGAAGGAACGGCCCGCGUCCGAUUAGCUAGUUGGUGAGGUAAUGGCUCACCAAGGCGACGAUCGGUAGCUGGUCUGAGAGGAUGACCAGCCUCACUGGGACUGAGACACGGCCCAGACUCCUACGGGAGGCAGCAGUGGGGAAUAUUGGACAAUGGGCGCAAGCCUGAUCCAGCCAUGCCGCGUGGAUGAUGAAGGCCUUAGGGUUGUAAAGUCCUUUUAACGGGGAAGAUAAUGACGGUACCCGUAGAAUAAGCCCCGGCUAACUUCGCGCCAGCAGCCGC
RNAcentral lists this ribosomal RNA (448 nucleotides) under uncultured bacterium. Its description in RNAcentral is "SSU rRNA". It matches the Rfam family "Bacterial small subunit ribosomal RNA", at positions 26 to 518 of the family's 1533-position model. The record is from RNAcentral.